ACACACACACACACACACACACACACACACACACACACACACACACACACACACACACUUUUUAUUAAUCCUUAACUGCUUUUAUACUUUUACAGAAAUGGUAGAUCAGCGCACGGCAGAUUAACCCUUCAUCUCACUGCAGUAAUCUUGGAAGAAUGGUCAUGGACAUUAGAAUCUUGCAUGACUUGUCUGAUCUGAAAGAGACCAGGUUUGGUCAGCCGCCUCCCAGACACGGUCUGAUCUUGUUGUGGUGGUUUGCUCAUGAUUGUGUUCGGAUUGACUCUAACGGUCGUAUGAUUGCACAGUACAACCCUGAAAAUGGAGCUUUUGGUUUCCACCGUUUCUAUAAUGGUGGUAGACUUCUUCCUUACACUAAUCUACCAUACUAUGAAGUGGGCAACCUGCACAAUGCUGCCUUACUGCCUUAUUAUGUCACUGAGAAUUACUCUGGAUAUUCAGACAACAGCAACAAAGAUCGCAUUAUUGUUUCCUUUGACUCAAGGUUGAACAGGUUCGACAGCAUUUAUGUGACACAGCACUCAGAUCAGACAAACUUUGACCAGAAUCACACUUACGACAUUAACAUUCGUCUUCUGAAGGAAAUUAAAACAUUGAACCGUGAACAUUUCUGCAGAGAAAUGAAAAAUAAUCAAUUACAUUCUCUUUCUUGGAUGUAUGUCCCUCAAAAGUCCAACAUACACUCACACUCUACAUCUUCACUUCAGUCACUGCAGGGUCAAAGGUUACACCAGUCUAGCUGGGAUUUCUGUGAUUGCAACUCUGAGCUGAUUUGCGCACUGAUUUGUGCACUGAUGCUUUUGUUUGCGGUUUUCUUCUUUCUUUUAAAAAUGGCAAACAAAAUUUAGUUAACUGCUGUGUAUUUUUCCAGCAAAUUUUUUUGGAUUGUAAAUCUGAAUACAUGUAAAUGCUUGACUUUAUAUAUUUACGAUGUUAAGCAUCACAUAUUUCUUUUAAAUGGUCACUGUAAUGAUAUUAAAAAAAAAACACAUUUAAAGGUACCAAAUGUAAAACUUGAUUUAUUAUUAA
This is a long non-coding RNA of Cyprinus carpio (common carp), 1047 nucleotides long. RefSeq lists it as uncharacterized. The transcript is spliced from 3 exons. The record is from RefSeq and is a predicted model, not a curated record. Lineage: Eukaryota; Metazoa; Chordata; Actinopteri; Cypriniformes; Cyprinidae.